Molecule: non-coding RNA, 45 nt
Filed under: Schistosoma mattheei
Lineage: Eukaryota; Metazoa; Platyhelminthes; Trematoda; Strigeidida; Schistosomatidae
Source: RNAcentral
AUCCAUCUGACGAGUCCUAAAUAGGACGAAAUGCACAUCCUACAU